AUUGAACGCUGGCGGCAUGCCUUACACAUGCAAGUCGAACGGCAGCACGGGUGCUUGCACCUGGUGGCGAGUGGCGAACGGGUGAGUAAUACAUCGGAACAUGUCCUGUAGUGGGGGAUAGCCCGGCGAAAGCCGGAUUAAUACCGCAUACGAUCUACGGAUGAAAGCGGGGGACCUUCGGGCCUCGCGCUAUAGGGUUGGCCGAUGGCUGAUUAGCUAGUUAGUGGGGUAAAGGCCUACCAAGGCGACGAUCAGUAGCUGGUCUGAGAGGACGACCAGCCACACUGGGACUGAGACACGGCCCAGACUCCUACGGGAGGCAGCAGUGGGGAAUUUUGGACAAUGGGCGAAAGCCUGAUCCAGCAAUGCCGCGUGUGUGAAGAAGGCCUUCGGGUUGUAAAGCACUUUUGUCCGGAAAGAAAUCCUUGGCCCUAAUACGGUCGGGGGAUGACGGUACCGGAAGAAUAAGCACCGGCUAACUACGUG
Molecule: ribosomal RNA, 486 nt
Filed under: uncultured bacterium
Lineage: Bacteria
Description: partial 16S ribosomal RNA
Rfam family: Bacterial small subunit ribosomal RNA
Source: RNAcentral